This 265-nucleotide ribosomal RNA is filed under the name uncultured bacterium. Its description in RNAcentral is "partial 16S ribosomal RNA". It matches the Rfam family "Bacterial small subunit ribosomal RNA", at positions 793 to 1055 of the family's 1533-position model. The record is from RNAcentral.
GUCCACGCCCUAAACGAUGAUGACUAGUUGUUGGGGAGUUAAAUCCCUUAGUAACGCAGCUAACGCGUGAAGUCAUCCGCCUGGGGAGUACGGUCGCAAGAUUAAAACUCAAAGGAAUUGACGGGGGCCCGCACAAGCGGUGGAUGAUGUGGUUUAAUUCGAUGAAACGCGAAAAACCUUACCUACCCUUGACAUGCUAGGAAUCCUGCAGAAAUGCAGGAGUGCCCGAAAGGGAACCUAGACACAGGUGCUGCAUGGCUGUCGU